CAUCCUUGAUCGGGAGGUCCGGGUAAUCUUUUGAAACUUCAUCGUGCUGGGGAUAGUCCCUUGCAAUUUUUGGACUUUAACGAGGAAUUCCUAGUAAGCGUGAGUCAUCAACUCGCGUUGAUUACGUCCCUGCCCUUUGUACACACCGCCCGUCGCUACUACCGAUUGAAUGGCUUAGUGAAUCCUUCGGAUUGGCUUUCUUUUCUGGCAACAGAAUUUGAUCGCUGAAAAGUUGGGCAAACUUGGUCAUUUAGAGGAAGUAAAAGUCGUAACAAGGUUUCCGUAGGUGAACCUGCGGAAGGAUCAUUAAAAAAUGAGACCUCUUUUGAAGGUCUAUUAAUAAUCCUACCCUUUGUGAAUUUGUUGUUUGAAAUAAUUUUUUUUCCAAAAAAAUUAUUGAAUGUCUUUCCCUGUUUGGUGGAGCUUGUAAAAGUGAAACCAUCAGGGGAAUGGCAAACAAUAAUUAUUUUGAAAAAAGACCUUUUUUUAAAAUUAAACUUUUAUGUAUUCAUUUGUCUAAAAUUAUUUUUAUAAUAUAAAAACAACUUUUGACAAUGGAUCUCUUGGUUCUCGCAACGAUGAAGAACGCAGCAAAAUGCGAUAAGUAGUGUGAAUUGCAGAAUACGUGAAUCAUCGAAUCUUCGAACGCAUAUUGCAC
RNAcentral lists this ribosomal RNA (658 nucleotides) under Caecomyces sp. RNAcentral's name for it is "bacterial SSU rRNA". The stretch from base 1 to 309 matches the Rfam family "Eukaryotic small subunit ribosomal RNA", at positions 1524 to 1831 of the family's 1831-position model. The record is from RNAcentral. Lineage: Eukaryota; Fungi; Neocallimastigomycota; Neocallimastigomycetes; Neocallimastigales; Neocallimastigaceae.